This is a long non-coding RNA of Girardinichthys multiradiatus, 428 nucleotides long. RefSeq lists it as uncharacterized. The record is from RefSeq and is a predicted model, not a curated record. Lineage: Eukaryota; Metazoa; Chordata; Actinopteri; Cyprinodontiformes; Goodeidae. The transcript is spliced from 5 exons.
CGGUGAGCAGUUUAUAAGAGUCCGUGCAGCAUCCGCUCUGUCUCUCUACAUGCGGACACCAUGCCGUGUGCUUUGCUUUCUCCGGGGCGACGUAGGUGCUGUGUCCUAUGCUGAAUCAACAUGAUGGAGGACCUGUAAGACAAACCCUCUGGGACUUGAGGCGGAGCCUCUGAUGCUGUGCUGACUGACCUGCUGCUUCCCACCACAGACGGGCAGAAGCAGCUGACCAGCAGAGGGCAGCAGCUGCUCCAGCAGGAGCUUAGACUGACAGCAGGCUUACCUGGAUGAAAGGAAAAGGUUCUAGACCGACUGCAGGAUGCACCUGGACUCCUCAGCCAACACUUUGUUUACAAAGAUACAACCACAGAUUAUCCCAUUGUCAUUUUUUUUACAGCCAUUAUUAAAUUAAUUAUAACCUAGUCAUGAAA